RNAcentral lists this ribosomal RNA (301 nucleotides) under uncultured bacterium. RNAcentral's name for it is "partial 16S ribosomal RNA". It matches the Rfam family "Bacterial small subunit ribosomal RNA", at positions 509 to 807 of the family's 1533-position model. The record is from RNAcentral.
CAGCCGCCGCGGUAACACGGAGGAGGCUAGCGUUGUUCGGAAUUACUGGGCGUAAAGCGCACGUAGGCGGCUUGGUAAGUUAGAGGUGAAAGCCCGGAGCUCAACUCCGGAAUUGCCUUUAAGACUGCCGAGCUAGUAGGUGAGAGAGGUAAGUGGAAUUCCGAGUGUAGAGGUGAAAUUCGUAGAUAUGCGGAGGAACACCGAUGGCGAAGGCAAUCCCCUGGACCUGUACUGAUGCUCAUGCACGAAAGCGUGGGGAGCAAACAGGAUUAGAUACCCCUGUAGUCCCUGUCUCUUAUAC